This 253-nucleotide ribosomal RNA is filed under the name uncultured bacterium. Its description in RNAcentral is "partial 16S ribosomal RNA". It matches the Rfam family "Bacterial small subunit ribosomal RNA", at positions 524 to 776 of the family's 1533-position model. The record is from RNAcentral.
UACGGAGGGGGCUAGCGUUGUUCGGAAUUACUGGGCGUAAAGCGCACGUAGGCGGCUUUGCAAGUUAGAGGUGAAAGCCCGGAGCUCAACUCCGGAACUGCCUUUAAGACUGCAUCGCUUGAACGUCGGAGAGGUAAGUGGAAUUCCGAGUGUAGAGGUGAAAUUCGUAGAUAUUCGGAAGAACACCAGUGGCGAAGGCGACUUACUGGACGACUGUUGACGCUGAGGUGCGAAAGCGUGGGGAGCAAACGGG